This 382-nucleotide long non-coding RNA is filed under the name Nicotiana tabacum (common tobacco). Its description in RNAcentral is "long non-coding RNA (NTAB_LNC015653)". The record is from RNAcentral. Lineage: Eukaryota; Viridiplantae; Streptophyta; Magnoliopsida; Solanales; Solanaceae.
ACAUAUCUUCUCUAAAACAAAAUAAACAGACAUGUUUCCUUCACAAUUCUACAGCACUCAAAUCAAACAAAGCUAGGGUAUUGCCUUUCUGCCCCAAUUGCUGAUUAUCCCCUCUACUGCGUCUUCCUUCUUCUUUUACGCGGUAUAUUCUUUCUCCUUCUUUCUUCUUCUUUUCUAUUCUUUUUUUGCCCUAUUAAAUUUUAUAUUUUGUGUAAUACAAAAUCUAAUUUUUAAUCAUUGAUUCUAGGGUUGUCCCACAUUUUGAUCUCUAUUCUCUUUGCAACUUGUGCUUUCCAAAAUUUCAAAGGCUAAGCCCCAACAAAUCGACAAGGUAUGUGGUCCUAUUUUCUUAUUUUUAGUUUCUUAGUGCGGAUAAUAUCCU